CCUACGGGACGCAGCAGUGAGGAAUAUUGGUCAAUGGCCGAGAGGCUGAACCAGCCAAGUCGCGUGAGGGAUGACGGCCCUACGGGUUGUAAACCUCUUUUGUCGGGGAGCAAGACCCGCCACGAGUGGCGGAGCGAGAGUACCCGAAGAAAAAGCAUCGGCUAACUCCGUGCCAGCAGCCGCGGUAGUACGUAGGUGGCAAGCGUUAUCCGGAUUUACUGGGGGUAAAGGGCGUGUAGGCGGGACUGGAAGGCAGAUGUGAAAACCACGGGCUCA
This 276-nucleotide ribosomal RNA is filed under the name uncultured bacterium. RNAcentral's name for it is "partial 16S ribosomal RNA". It matches the Rfam family "Bacterial small subunit ribosomal RNA", at positions 338 to 611 of the family's 1533-position model. The record is from RNAcentral.